CGACAUUUUAGAAAGCUUUUAGAUUUGAUACAAAAAAAAAAUAUACUGAAUUUCAAAGAUUCGUAGUUUCAAUAGAAAAUCACAUUUUGCAUCUCAUAACCAUAAAUGAAACGAAAUGCAAACAAAAGCAUACCCACACAUAAGCAUAGCCAACCCACCUGCCGAGCCGCCACUGAUGAAUGCAAAAAACAAAGAUGGUUCCGAUCCUUCCAAAAAGCCACAAAAUUCAUACAAAUAAAAUCAUCAUGUUUGCUAAAGUAAAAGCCAGUCAGUAUAUCCAACAUUCAACACGCAGUUAAAGUGGGCCCCCUUCCCGUAAGAAUCUGUGUGUGUGUGUGUGGGCAAAAGCGCUCUGUUUAUUGCCUUGCCAGAAAUAUACUUCCAUUGAAGAUUGAAGUCGAAAUAUAAAAAUAUCGCACAUUGAUUUAUUCAAAAAUGCGAUUUGUGUGAAAGCUGAA
Molecule: long non-coding RNA, 458 nt
Organism: Bactrocera oleae (olive fruit fly)
Lineage: Eukaryota; Metazoa; Arthropoda; Insecta; Diptera; Tephritidae
Source: RefSeq, a predicted model, not a curated record